RNAcentral lists this long non-coding RNA (1941 nucleotides) under Carica papaya (papaya). RNAcentral's name for it is "long non-coding RNA (CPAP_LNC005848)". Lineage: Eukaryota; Viridiplantae; Streptophyta; Magnoliopsida; Brassicales; Caricaceae. The record is from RNAcentral.
AUUCGUUUAAAGGAUGACUAUUUAUCAUAUAUUCAAAAUUUUACACCUAUUUAUUUGAUAUUGGAGACUUGAAUUUUUUUUGUGAAAGUGCCAAUGAAUAUAAUAAUUGAUAUAAACUAUGGAUGGUAUAAUUAGCCACUGCUAGUGUAACAACUAGCUGUAUGCUACAGUAAACCCCUAUCUAAUAAAAUGAGGUCUUUUAGUAAUUUAAUUUCCAUGUUUUGUCACUUAAUGUGAUUUAUUUUGAAUUAAUAAUUCAAAAUGAAUAAAUUCGUUAUUUUAAAAUAAAAUGAAUUGAACUUCUAAGAACUAAAGUGUUUGCUUGCUCUGAGAGUGGGGUUAGGUGGAAUGCAUAUGGACUCCACUCACCUUCAUGUGGUGAAUAAUUGGCCACAUGGUAGGAGUAUUUGCUGUUGGGCAGAUGGCGAGCACUGCACAUCAAUUUUCCUUAGGCUAUCGGCCACUCUCUGCAUCAAUGACCAAGAUUGCAUGCAUGGUCUUGGACGGCCAAGAUUGACCCUCAAAUUUACUUUAAAAGUCGAUUUCUUCUUUGUUUCUUCUUCCCCCAUAUUAUUUGAACUCAAAAUUUUGGAAGCAGAGUGAAACCCUAGAUUGUUGGUGAGGAAGGAAGUUUAAAAACAGAGUGUGAGUGUGUGUUGGUGCCAAGAAGGAAUUCUGGUGCAUUUGUGGAAGGAAUUUCCUUCUGCUCUGGGCUACGUAAGCCUUCAUCCUUUAGAGCUAGCUCCUUUCGGCUUCCAGUACAUUUAUACACCUUUCUUGCGGAUUUUAGAACCCAAAAUUUAUAUCAACUUCCCUCCUUUGUUGUUGUUCUAUCUGCUGUCAUGGGUUGUAGGUAAGAAUCGGGUUUUUGGUUGUUAUUCGCUUCCAAAUCUCUUUUUUUUGCUAGUUCAUCGUAAUUAAUAAAUUGUUAGAUUGUUGGUGAACUACUAGGGGUUAGUUAAACAACCUUAAAUCCUAAAAAUAACUAAAAAUUAACUAUAAAUUCUGCAAUAGUUGAAGUAUCUUUAUUGCGUAUUCUGUGUAAGAUGGGUGAUAAGUUUGGUCAAUAAAAGUAUGGAUUUAUAGUAUGCAUUUAUUUAGUAAAACCUUUAAAAAUAAAAAGCAAGUGGUGUUUUAAAAUUGAUGAUGUGUGUGAGUACAUGAAUGUCUUAAAUAGUGCAUUUUGGUGAUUUUUGAAUGAUUUUAAAUGUUGGUGAUCAAGGAAUGAAUAAUGACGGAUGAGUACAUGCUAAUUAGGGGAACAUAAGGGAAAAGAGAACAAAGAUAGUAGUCAAAUAGCUUCUGUCACGAGUGCUAGGCAUCAACAUGCUGCUGCUGUUGGGCACACACGGUUUUUUCGUGUUAGUAUGCAUAAUGGGAUGAUUUUUGGGCAAUCUAAGUGUUGGAAAGCAUUUAUAGCAUAAAGUUGUUUAACAAUUGCUGCACAGGUCGUGUGAGGGGCUUGGUUAUGCUUUUUCAGAAGGGCAGCAGAGAUGUUCGAUUGUUCAAACAAGCUAUGUCGGACACCAUGUGCGCGUACAUGCAGGAACAUGCAUAGGGUUGCCCACUUCACAACUGCUCAUACUGUAGCACCCGAAAAACUUCGUGCUUAAUUUAUAAUGUAAACUCCUGUUUAUUCGAGUUCUAAAACCGUUUAAAACUCCUUAAUAUUAUAUAAUUUUAAUUUUUUGGAUGAAUAUUAUAUUUUGUAUUUUAAUUUUAUAUUUUAUUUGAUUAAAUAAUUAUUGAAAUUAAUUAUUUUAUCAUAAAAAAUUUUAUUUUAUUUAUUAUUUAAAAAAAUUUUAAGAAAAAAUGGAGAAAAAGGUAGAAAACUCCCGUGGGAAGGAUCCCACCCAUGCGGGAUCCACACACCACUUGCGCGUGCAUGUGCGUGGCCAGCGCAAGAUGUACAUACUGUGCACAUGUCCCAUUCGCGUGGGG